Molecule: ribosomal RNA, 483 nt
Filed under: uncultured bacterium
Lineage: Bacteria
Description: partial 16S ribosomal RNA
Rfam family: Bacterial small subunit ribosomal RNA
Source: RNAcentral
GACGAACGCUGGCGGCGUGCUUGACACAUGCAAGUCGAACGAUGAAGCUGGAGCUUGCUCCGGUGGAUUAGUGGCGAACGGGUGAGUAACACGUGAGCAAUCUGCCCUUGACUCUGGGAUAACUGCGGGAAACUGUAGCUAAUACCGGCUAUGAGCUCUGAAGGCAUCUUCGGGUUUGGAAAGAAUUUCGGUCAAGGAUGAGCUCGCGGCCUAUCAGCUAGUUGGUGAGGUAAUGGCUCACCAAGGCGACGACGGGUAGCCGGCCUGAGAGGGUGACCGGCCACACUGGAACUGAGACACGGUCCAGACUCCUACGGGAGGCAGCAGUGGGGAAUAUUGCACAAUGGGCGAAAGCCUGAUGCAGCAACGCCGCGUGAGGGAUGAAGGCCUUCGGGUUGUAAACCUCUUUUAGCAGGGAAGAAGCGAAAGUGACGGUACCUGCAGAAAAAGCACCGGCUAACUACGUGCCAGCCGCCGCCGUAA